AUGCAUGCUGGCGGCGUGCCUCAUACAUGCCAGUCGAGCGAACGGACGAGAAGCUUGCUUCUCUGAUGUUAGCGGCGGACGGGUGAGUAACACGUGGAUAACCUACCUAUAAGACUGGGAUAACUUCGGGAAACCGGAGCUAAUACCGGAUAAUAUUUUGAACCGCAUGGUUCAAAAGUGAAAGACGGUCUUGCUGUCACUUAUAGAUGGAUCCGCGCUGCAUUAGCUAGUUGGUAAGGUAACGGCUUACCAAGGCAACGAUGCAUAGCCGACCUGAGAGGGUGAUCGGCCACACUGGAACUGAGACACGGUCCAGACUCCUACGGGAGGCAGCAGUAGGGAAUCUUCCGCAAUGGGCGAAAGCCUGACGGAGCAACGCCGCGUGAGUGAUGAAGGUCUUCGGAUCGUAAAACUCUGUUAUUAGGGAAGAACAUAUGUGUAAGUAACUGUGCACAUCUUGACGGUACCUAAUCAGAAAGCCACGGCUAACUACGUG
This 496-nucleotide ribosomal RNA is filed under the name uncultured bacterium. RNAcentral's name for it is "partial 16S ribosomal RNA". It matches the Rfam family "Bacterial small subunit ribosomal RNA", at positions 29 to 507 of the family's 1533-position model. The record is from RNAcentral.